GGUCGCCGGCCGCUCGGCCUCCGUCCAGGGCGGCAUGCAAAUGCUGGCGCUGAUCAUCACGCUGGUCAUCUCCGUGGUCACUGGUCUGCUGACGGGCCUGCUGCUGAAGCUGCGUUUUCUGGGAGCGGCGUGGAGACGGGCGACCUGUUCAGCGACCGGCGCUACUUCGUCGUGCACGACGAGCCGCCUCCAGAGCCGGCCGAGCCCGCUGCCGGAAUCCGCAAAAUCCACGUGGUGAGUCCCGUAGAAGACUAACAGCUUGCCGCGGCAGCGUCCGAGCCGCCCGCCGCCGGCCAGCUCGGGCGGCCCCCCGACACUGAGAGGCUGGGUCCUCCGUUCAGUUCUUCGGUGGACUCUGCGCCUUGCACCACAUCGUCUGGUCGGACGCACCCCUCCCCCUCUCUCUGUCACCCGUGUGAGCCUACCCCUCCGUCACCUCUGCCAGCCGUGUGGGCCUCCCCCUCCGUCACCUCUGCCAGCCGUGUCAGCCUCCCCUCCAU
Molecule: long non-coding RNA, 500 nt
Organism: Pollicipes pollicipes
Lineage: Eukaryota; Metazoa; Arthropoda; Thecostraca; Pollicipedomorpha; Pollicipedidae
Exons: 3
Source: RefSeq, a predicted model, not a curated record